RNAcentral lists this ribosomal RNA (880 nucleotides) under uncultured Actinomycetes bacterium. RNAcentral describes it as "bacterial SSU rRNA". It matches the Rfam family "Bacterial small subunit ribosomal RNA", at positions 9 to 891 of the family's 1533-position model. The record is from RNAcentral. Lineage: Bacteria; Bacillati; Actinomycetota; Actinomycetes.
GAGUUUGAUCCUGGCUCAGGACGAACGCUGGCGGUGCGCCUUAUGCAUGCAAGUUGAGCGAACGUUUUUGGUAGUUUACUACUAGAAAUGACUGAGCGGCGAACGGGUGAGUAACGCGUGAGCAAUCUACCUUAGUUACUGGGAUAGCCCGAGGAAACUCGGAUUAAUACCGGAUAUUCUUAUUUUUUCACAUGAAGUUUUAAGGAAAGGUCAGCCGAACUAAGAUGAGCUCGCGUUCUAUCAGCUAGUUGGUGGGGUAACAGCCUACCAAGGCUACGACGGAUAGCUGGUCUGAGAGGACGAUCAGCCACACUGGGACUGAGACACGGCCCAGACUCCUACGGGAGGCUGCAGCAGGGAAUAUUGUGCAAUGAGCGAAAGCUUGACACAGCGACACCGCGUGUGGGAUGACGGUUCUAGGAUUGUAAACCACUUUCAGGAGGGAAGAAAAUGACGGUACCUCCACAAGAAGACCCGGCCAACUAUGUGCCAGCAGCCGCGGUAAUACAUAGGGGUCAAGCGUUGUCCGGAUUUAUUGGGCGUAAAGAGCUCGUAGGCGGUUCAACAAGUCGGUCGUAAAAGUUUAGGGCUCAACCCUAAAAUGUCGAUUCGAUACUGUUGUGACUAGGAUACGGUAGAGGUGAAUGGAAUUCCGAGUGUAGCGGUGAAAUGCGUAGAUAUUCGGAGGAACCCCAAUUGCGAAGGCAGUUCACUGGACCGUGAUCGACGCUGAGGAGCGAAACUAAGGGGAGCAAACAGGAUUAGAUACCCUGGGUAGUCCUAGCUGUAAACGAUGGAUACUAGAUGUAGGAACUGGAUUGACGGUUUCUGUAUCGUAGCUAACGCGUUAAGUAUCCCGCCUGGGGGAGUACGGUCGCAG